RNAcentral lists this ribosomal RNA (492 nucleotides) under uncultured bacterium. RNAcentral's name for it is "partial 16S ribosomal RNA". It matches the Rfam family "Bacterial small subunit ribosomal RNA", at positions 29 to 507 of the family's 1533-position model. The record is from RNAcentral.
AGUGAACGCUGGCGGUAGGCCUAACACAUGCAAGUCGAACGGCAGCACAGUAAGAGCUUGCUCUUACGGGUGGCGAGUGGCGGACGGGUGAGGAACACAUCGGAAUCUACUUUUUCGUGGGGGAUAACGUAGGGAAACUUACGCUAAUACCGCAUACGACCUACGGGUGAAAGCAGGGGAUCUUCGGACCUUGCGCGAUUGAAUGAGCCGAUGUCGGAUUAGCUAGUUGGCGGGGUAAAGGCCCACCAAGGCGACGAUCCGUAGCUGGUCUGAGAGGAUGAUCAGCCACACUGGAACUGAGACACGGUCCAGACUCCUACGGGAGGCAGCAGUGGGGAAUAUUGGACAAUGGGCGCAAGCCUGAUCCAGCCAUACCGCGUGGGUGAAGGAGGCCUUCGGGUUGUAAAGCCCUUUUGUUGGGAAAGAAAAGCAGCAGGUUAAUACCCCGCUGUUCUGACGGUACCCAAAGAAUAAGCACCGGCUAACUUCGUG